RNAcentral lists this unclassified non-coding RNA (275 nucleotides) under Ascomycota sp. RNAcentral's name for it is "partial contains small subunit ribosomal RNA, internal transcribed spacer 1, and 5.8S ribosomal RNA". The stretch from base 1 to 47 matches the Rfam family "Eukaryotic small subunit ribosomal RNA", at positions 1785 to 1831 of the family's 1831-position model. The record is from RNAcentral. Lineage: Eukaryota; Fungi; Ascomycota.
AAAGUCGUAACAAGGUUUCCGUAGGUGAACCUGCGGAAGGAUCAUUAAAAGUAAACCCGGGACCAUAAAGCGUUAUAAAACAUCAGCUGAAAUCUGAUGUCGCAUCCCGAAGGUUUUAACCAACCCUGUGAACUUAUGGUUUCUAGUUGACAACAGCUUUGAAACCAUUCUUAUCAACUCUUUUGUUUGACUGAUUAAUGGUGAACCUCGUUUAACCACGAGCGGAUCUAAAUUAUGAAUAAAGAAAACUUUCAACAACGGAUCUCUUGGCUCUC